Molecule: ribosomal RNA, 205 nt
Filed under: uncultured bacterium
Lineage: Bacteria
Description: partial 16S ribosomal RNA
Rfam family: Bacterial small subunit ribosomal RNA
Source: RNAcentral
CGGAUUGCAGGCUGCAACUCGCCUGCAUGAAGUCGGAAUUGCUAGUAAUCGCGGAUCAGCAUGCCGCGGUGAAUACGUUCUCGGGCCUUGUACACACCGCCCGUCACACCAUGGGAGUCGGUAACACCCGAAGUCUGUAGCCUGACGCAAGAGGGCGCAGCCGAAGGUGGGAUUGAUGACUGGGGUGAAGUCGUAACAAGGUAAC